Molecule: ribosomal RNA, 473 nt
Filed under: uncultured bacterium
Lineage: Bacteria
Description: bacterial SSU rRNA
Rfam family: Bacterial small subunit ribosomal RNA
Source: RNAcentral
GAUGAACGCUGGCGGCGUGCCUAACACAUGCAAGUCGAACGAAGCACUUUAUUACGAUUUCUUCGGAAUGACGAUUUGGUGACUGAGUGGCGGACGGGUGAGUAACGCGUGGAUAACCUGCCCCAUACAGGGGGAUAACAGUUAGAAAUGACUGCUAAUACCGCAUAAGCGCACAGUAUCGCAUGAUACGGUGUGAAAAACUCCGGUGGUAUGGGAUGGAUCCGCGUCUGAUUAGCCAGUUGGCGGGGUAGAGGCCCACCAAAGCGACGAUCAGUAGCCGACCUGAGAGGGUGACCGGCCACAUUGGGACUGAGACACGGCCCAAACUCCUACGGGAGGCAGCAGUGGGGAAUAUUGCACAAUGGGGGAAACCCUGAUGCAGCGACGCCGCGUGAGCGAAGAAGUAUUUCGGUAUGUAAAGCUCUAUCAGCAGGGAAGAAGAAUGACGGUACCUGACUAAGAAGCUCCGGCUA